CGAGCGUCAUUACAACCCUCAAGCUCUGCUUGGUAUUAGGCAUCACCUGCUACAGGCGUGCCUUAAAAUCAGUGGCGGUGCCAUUUGGCUCCAAGCGUAGUAAUUUCUUCGGCUUAGGAGUACCAAUUGCGUGCCCGCUAGAAAUACCCAAUUUAUCAAAGGUUGACCUCGGAUCAGGUAGGGAUACCCGCUGAACUUAA
RNAcentral lists this unclassified non-coding RNA (200 nucleotides) under soil metagenome. Its description in RNAcentral is "partial contains internal transcribed spacer 2 and large subunit ribosomal RNA". The record is from RNAcentral.